Molecule: transfer RNA, 85 nt
Filed under: Membranihabitans marinus
Lineage: Bacteria; Pseudomonadati; Bacteroidota; Saprospiria; Saprospirales; Saprospiraceae
Rfam family: tRNA
About the family: Transfer RNA (tRNA) molecules are approximately 80 nucleotides in length. Their secondary structure includes four short double-helical elements and three loops (D, anti-codon, and T loops).
Source: Rfam by way of RNAcentral
GCCCGGGUGGUGGAAUUGGUAGACACGCAGGACUUAAAAUCCUGUGACCAUUGCGGUCGUGCGGGUUCAAGUCCCGCCCCGGGCA